AUGAGUAACAAAUAAGAAGGUCAAUACCAUUUAUUCUUUAUUUUCGAAUAAGGAAGGUGGUUUUAGAUACCUCCGCCUAAAGCUUAUGGUUUUGGUAUAAAGUAACGGCCUCUAAGUUUAUAACCUAAAGGUUUGGACGAUGAGAAAAUCUUAUUUACUAAAAACAACAUUUCUAAGUGAGAAGUGUGCUGGAAAAACUGUAAAUAUAUAUUUAUUUAAUAAAUAUGAAAAUAACCGUACCUAGAAACUGCUACAAGUAAGCUAGUAGAGAAUACGAAGGCGUUAAUGGGCUAACAAUCAUAAAGGAACUCGGCAAACUAACUACCGUAACUUCGGGACAAGGAGAGCUCAUUAGUCUUGAUUAAUAUCAGGUAAAAAGGAAGAAGCAUAAAAUAGUGUUGUACGACUGUUUAAUUAAAACACAGCACUUUGCUAAAAGAUGAAAAAUCUAAGUAUUGAGUGUGAUGUCUGCCCGAUCCCGGCUGGUUAACAGAUACUACUGAAUUGUUAAAAGAUUUGUUAAAAGCGGCCUUAACGUGAGGGUCCUAAGGUAGCGAAAUGCCUUGGCCGUUAAAUGCGGUCUUGCAUGAAUGGUGUAACGAUACAACAGCUGUCUCUAUGAUUGACCCAGUGAAAUU
Molecule: non-coding RNA, 638 nt
Filed under: Hirsutella minnesotensis 3608
Lineage: Eukaryota; Fungi; Ascomycota; Sordariomycetes; Hypocreales; Ophiocordycipitaceae
Description: Bacterial large subunit ribosomal RNA
Rfam family: Bacterial large subunit ribosomal RNA
Source: Rfam by way of RNAcentral